AAUCUACAUAAUUCUCAAUGUUGCUGUUUUUGUUUUUUUGUGUGUUUUUUUGUCUUUUUUUUGUUUUUUUUUUAUAAAAAAGGCACAGUAAAAAAAUACUGGCACGAUAACAUAUUUACAACGCACCCAUUAUGGGCUAUCUUCUCUCAGCUUCAGGUUGGAAACAUUUGGCUCUGGCUCUGCCCGCUUCUCCCUGGGGAACGCGGGCUGGCAGUGGCCACAGGGGGAUGCAGGACCCCCAUCCCUGCCCGUACUGGGCUAAAUCCAUCCCUGGCUCACGGCAAAUUUUGCUCUCUGGCAGCGUUUCCCAAACCGUUUUUGCUCCUGAUCUGCCUGGGGGAGUGGGACCCCGCUCUUAAGCCCCCCCGUGCUGGCUUUGCUGCAGGGUGCGCCCCACCUAGGAGCAGAAGCAGAGCCAGGGGAAGAGCCUGUGAUGGUGUGGGGGUGACUUCUGCUCUUUUGGGGUGCCCACCUAGCCGAGCACCUCUUGGGCACUGCAGCCACCCCAGCAGCACCCACUGGAGGAUGCUUGGUGGGGAGACACCCACACAGCCUCAGGGACAGACCCCAAAGUGCUACUUUGCAAAGGUGCAGGGUGCCCGUGCUCAGCCUGCUUGCACCCUUGGCCACCUCACUGGCAGGCAGAGAGGUGGCACCGGAGGGAGACACCUCGGCGCUGCGCAAACACAGCUCCGGAAAAGCCCUCCUCCCACCCCCCGUAUUUAUAGAAAGCCUUUAAAUUAGUCUCUAUAAAUAGUGCAUAGAUUUACACCUCUGAAAACAUUUCAGCAGGACGUAGGGAGCUCCGGGGAAUGGAGCGAAUGGUGGUGGUGCUGGGCUCGCCAAGCCACCCAUCUGCCCCAUGGUCUCCCUGAGGGGUGGCUGAUGAGCACCCAGCAGCUUUGCAGCACUGUGGUGUGUCCCAGCAUCUGCCAUGGCCAGGUUAAAAAAUACAAAAACUUUGCCUACGAGGAGCCAGAGCCUCAAUGCUGAGAUUUGGGGGCUGGGAGAAAGGAUGGGGACAGGUUAGGGGUCUGCGGGAGCAAGGAGGGGUUAGAGCUGAGGGUGGGGAGGCACACACCGAAAAACACAAAAACACCUUAACAUCUGGAAGGAAAGAAAGAAAAGCAAGCCAGGGUGAGGCAGAGCUGCACAGCACCGGCUGCCGCUCCCCACGCAUAGCGCGGGGCUGGCCGGCGGGCG
This 1203-nucleotide long non-coding RNA is filed under the name Cairina moschata (Muscovy duck). RNAcentral describes it as "domestica (muscovy Duck (domestic type)) lncRNA (ENSCMMG00000009664.1)". Lineage: Eukaryota; Metazoa; Chordata; Aves; Anseriformes; Anatidae. The record is from RNAcentral.